AUGGAUCCUAUGAAUAACGUUCAAAUGCAUACGAGCCAGGGAGGAUUUAGUACGCCCAAAAAGAACACAGACAUACCUCUCUUCUCUUCGUUUUUUAUACCUGAAUGUGAUGAGCAUCUGAAGCCUAAAGUGGGUAUGACAUUUGAAGGACUCGAGGCCGUGGAGAAGUUCUACAAGGAAUAUGCGCAUCAAUCAGGUUUUGGUGUUCGCAUUGGACAACAAAAAAAGAAUGAGAAUAAGGUGGUCCGUACUAAGCGUUUCAUGUGUAAUAGGGAAGGAUUCCAGGCAAAAGAUAGUAAAGAGACUAAUGACCCCUUGAAGAAAAGGCGUAAGCAGACAGAUACACGAUGCGGUUGUGAUGCCCAUAUCUUUGUUAGACUUUGUGGGGAGAACACCUACAAGAUAGACUCACUGAUUGAGCACCAUGUUCAUGGUCUUGUAUCGCCUAAUAAGUGUCAUUUGAUCAGAUCAAAUCGUAGAGUUAGUGAGAGGGCAAAAAAUACUUUAUACACAUGUCAUAAGGCAAGUAUUGGAACGUCGCAGGCAUACAGGCUCCUGCAAGUUAGUGAGGGUGGAAUUCUG
Molecule: ribosomal RNA, 582 nt
Filed under: Triticum aestivum (bread wheat)
Lineage: Eukaryota; Viridiplantae; Streptophyta; Magnoliopsida; Poales; Poaceae
Description: partial small subunit ribosomal RNA
Source: RNAcentral